CCUACGGGAGGCAGCAGUAAGGGAUAUUGGUCAAUGGGGGAAACCCUGAACCAGCAACGCCGCGUGAGGGAAGACGGUUUUCGGAUUGUAAACCUCUGUCCUCUGUGAAGAUGAUGACGGUAGCAGAGGAGGAAGCUCCGGCUAACUACGUGCCAGCAGCCGCGGUAAUACGUCGGGAGCGAGCGUUGUCCGGAUUUACUGGGUGUAAAGGGUGCGUAGGCGGCUUGGCAAGUCAGUAGUAAAAUCCAUGGGCUUAACCCAUGAACUGCUAUUGAAACUGUCGAGCUGGGGUGAAGUAGGGGAAGGGGGAAUGCCGGGGGUGGCGGUGAAUGGGGUAGGGAUGGGAGGAACACCAGUGGCGAAGGCGGCCUACUGGGCUUUAACUGACGCUGAGGCACGAAAGCGUGGGUAGCAAACAGGAUUAGAUACCCCAGUAGUC
RNAcentral lists this ribosomal RNA (439 nucleotides) under uncultured bacterium. RNAcentral describes it as "partial 16S ribosomal RNA". It matches the Rfam family "Bacterial small subunit ribosomal RNA", at positions 338 to 795 of the family's 1533-position model. The record is from RNAcentral.